AUCGCUUCUCGGCCUUUUGGCUAAGAUCAAAUGUAGUAUCUGUUCUUAUCAGUUUAAUGAAUGAACCCUGAACAAUUUUUUUUUUUUUUGAGUUGGAGUCUCACUCUGUCACCCAGACUGGAGUGCAGUGGCCGCUCCUGGCCACCGCAGCCUCGACCUGCU
This 162-nucleotide small nuclear RNA is filed under the name Carlito syrichta (Philippine tarsier). RNAcentral's name for it is "U2 spliceosomal RNA (ENSTSYG00000024274.2)". The stretch from base 1 to 109 matches the Rfam family "U2 spliceosomal RNA". Rfam says of the family: U2 is a small nuclear RNA (snRNA) component of the spliceosome (involved in pre-mRNA splicing). Complementary binding between U2 snRNA (in an area lying towards the 5' end but 3' to hairpin I) and the branchpoint sequence (BPS) of the intron results the bulging out of an unpaired adenosine, on the BPS, which initiates a nucleophilic attack at the intronic 5' splice site, thus starting the first of two transesterification reactions that mediate splicing. Lineage: Eukaryota; Metazoa; Chordata; Mammalia; Primates; Tarsiidae. The record is from RNAcentral.